AACAAAAUACAAAGAAAAUAGGGCUAGAGCUUCAAGAUGUGUUCUUCAAACUAAACCCAGAAUUUGAAAAUAAACCAAGAUGGAUUUGGAAUCUUCUUCGGUAGUGUUAAUAAAUUAGGGUUUAUAGAGUUCGAAUCUUUUGAGUGUGUAGUGAAACUAGGGUUCUUGAGUGUAGUGAAAUUAGGGUUCUUGAAGAGAGGGAGAGAUUGAGAGAUUGAGAGGAGGGAGGGAGAGAUUUGAGAGGCGGGAGAGUGAGGUCGGGCUCGAGGGAGUAAGGGUCGAAA
RNAcentral lists this long non-coding RNA (284 nucleotides) under Daucus carota (carrot). Its description in RNAcentral is "long non-coding RNA (DCAR_LNC005696)". Lineage: Eukaryota; Viridiplantae; Streptophyta; Magnoliopsida; Apiales; Apiaceae. The record is from RNAcentral.